This 253-nucleotide ribosomal RNA is filed under the name uncultured bacterium. RNAcentral describes it as "partial 16S ribosomal RNA". It matches the Rfam family "Bacterial small subunit ribosomal RNA", at positions 524 to 776 of the family's 1533-position model. The record is from RNAcentral.
UACGUAGGGGGCUAGCGUUGUCCGGAAUCACUGGGCGUAAAGAGCGUGUAGGCGGCCCGGUAAGUCCGCUGUGAAAGUCGGGGGCUCAACCCUCGAAAGCCGGUGGAUACUGUCGGGCUAGAGUACGGAAGAGGCGAGUGGAAUUCCUGGUGUAGCGGUGAAAUGCGCAGAUAUCAGGAGGAACACCCAUUGCGAAGGCAGCUCGCUGGGACGUUACUGACACUGAGGCGCGACAGCGUGGGGAGCAAACAGG